CCUGGCUCAGGAUGAACGCUGGCGGCGUGCUUAACACAUGCAAGUCGAACGAAGCAAUUUAUUACGAUCCCUUCGGGGUGACGAUUUAUUGACUGAGUGGCGGACGGGUGAGUAACGCGUGGGUAACCUACCUUGUACAGGGGGACAACAGUUGGAAACGACUGCUAAUACCGCAUAAGCGCACAGCUUCGCAUGGAGCAGUGUGAAAAGUUUUUUCGGUACAAGAUGGACCCGCGUCUGAUUAGCUAGUUGGUGAGGUAACGGCUCACCAAGGCGACGAUCAGUAGCCGACCUGAGAGGGUGACCGGCCACAUUGGGACUGAGACACGGCCCAAACUCCUACGGGAGGCAGCAGUGGGGAAUAUUGCACAAUGGGCGCAAGCCUGAUGCAGCGACGCCGCGUGAGCGAAGAAGUAUUUCGGUAUGUAAAGCUCUAUCAGCAGGGAAGAUAAUGACGGUACCUGACUAAGAAGCACCGGCUAAAUACGUGCC
This 492-nucleotide ribosomal RNA is filed under the name uncultured organism. RNAcentral describes it as "SSU rRNA". It matches the Rfam family "Bacterial small subunit ribosomal RNA", at positions 18 to 509 of the family's 1533-position model. The record is from RNAcentral.